GAUUAGAGUUUGAUCCUGGCUCGGAUAAACGCUGGCGGCGUGCCUAACACAUGCAAGUCGAACGCGCUUUGUCUCGCCGCAAGGUGAGGGGGAGCGAGUGGCGGACGGGUGAGGAACACAUGGGUACCUCCCUUGAAGUGAGGGAUACCGGCGAGAAAUCGCCGACAAUACCGCAUAGGCUUCAUGCUUGAGAGAGCAAGAAGCAAAGUCUCGCGCAAGCGAGGCGCUUUGAGAUGGGCCUGUGGCCGAUUAGCUGGCUGGUGGGGUAAUGGCUCACCAGGGCGAUGAUCGGUAGCUGGUCUGAGAGGACGAUCAGCCACACUGGGAUUGAGAACGGCCCAGACUCCUACGGGGGGCAGCAGUGAGGAAUUUUCCGCAAUGGGCGCAAGCCUGACGGAGCAACGCCGCGUGCAGGACGACGGCCUUCGGGUUGUAAACUGCUUUUCUGGGGGACGAGCAAGGACGGUACCCCAGGAAUCAGCCCCGGCUAACUACGUGCCAGCAGCCGCGGUAAUACGUAGGGGGCAAGCGUUGUCCGGAAUUAUUGGGCGUAAAGCGCACGCAGGCGGUUGCACGCGUUUCCGGUGCCAGCUCGUUGCUUAACGACGGGAGUGCCGGGAAGACGGUGCGACUUGAGGGCCUCAGAGGGACAUAGAAUUCCGGGUGGAGUGGUGAAAUGCGUAGAUAUCCGGAGGAAUACC
RNAcentral lists this ribosomal RNA (701 nucleotides) under uncultured bacterium. RNAcentral describes it as "bacterial SSU rRNA". It matches the Rfam family "Bacterial small subunit ribosomal RNA", at positions 1 to 710 of the family's 1533-position model. The record is from RNAcentral.